Molecule: small nucleolar RNA, 127 nt
Organism: Nannospalax galili (Upper Galilee mountains blind mole rat)
Lineage: Eukaryota; Metazoa; Chordata; Mammalia; Rodentia; Spalacidae
Source: Ensembl
GUGCACACUUCAUUGUCUUUUUUUCACAACAAGAAAAAAGAUAAUUCUGAUGUGCUAAACAAAUCUUUGGAGGUAAAAUAACAACAUGAAUAAUUUAGCCAUGGCUGUCAGUCACCUUCAGACACUG